Non-coding RNA from Phascolarctos cinereus (koala), 420 nucleotides. Lineage: Eukaryota; Metazoa; Chordata; Mammalia; Diprotodontia; Phascolarctidae. The record is from RefSeq and is a predicted model, not a curated record.
UUUCCUCACCUGUUAAAUAAGGAGGAUGGCCUGUCAGUGUCUCAGUCAUGGAAGGGUCAGAGAUCUAUUUUAACUCAUACCUGAACAAGAAUUUUCAAUUAAAAUUGAAGUGUACUAUAUCACAGCAUUCUUCUCGAAAGAACUCACCUGGAAAUAUUGAGAGGAAACUUCUGCAUAGCAAGAUUCAUGCAUCUGAAACCUACAGACCAAACAGGAGCAUAUUAAUGAAGUUUUUCAGUGUUUGUUAAUCACUGAUGGCAUGCUUUGGAAGUGCUCAAAACAAAGCUUCUAUCCACAGUUGCUGUUUCUGCUCUCUUCGGACCAAAACUCGAGAUUCAAUCUCCCACCAGAAGCACAAAUGCCCUGUACUACAUCCCUCCAAAAUGAUCAUCCAUCUGCCUUUGAAAGACGCCAGUGAAG